GAGCCAAAGGCAGACACUUAACCAACUGAGCCACCCAGGCGUCGCUCACAUUUGGAAAAUUGUAAAUAACCUGACCUCAUUGGGCCUCAGCUAGAGGCUGAGGAGAGUCUACCUAGUACCUUUCUUGCAACGUCAGAUAAUGAGUACCUGUUGGUGCCUGGCACUGAGCUUUCAGGCAUGUGAGUGUGGAGCUGUUCUGCUCUGCUUUGCUGCUGGUGAUGCACAUGUAUGCAUAGAAGGAACUCAUUUUCCUCCUGGGUCUGACCUUCUGUCUGAAAGCUUAAUACCUUUCUGAUCUUGUGAAUCAGUGGCUGAGUCUCCAUUCCAAACCCCUAUCAGUCCCAGAAACCUGAACACAUUUUUCUGAUGCUUAUGGUAACCUUUCUGCGAUGUACUUGGCGUGGCCAAGAAGGUACUUCUUGAUCCUUCUCCAUAACUGGUAGUUAGCUCUGCCCAUUAAAUCAUCCCCCUCCUCUUCUAUUUCUGUUAAUCGUAAUAGAGGGAGGAGGGACAGAAGGAAACCUCUGGCUUUUGCAGCUUUGUCAUGAACCAAUAGAGGCUCCACAUCAGGAUGUGGAGCAGGUGCCCUGAAUUGGUGGGAUACCGCAUGACCUUCGCGGCCGCUGAUUCCUGGAGGCUGGCACAUGCUGGGAUAGGAGCCCCCUUGCCCCCAGCGCCCAGCCAGUGCUCUGAGCAUUCCAGCUGUGCAGGAGGGGUUCUGAUGUGGUGGGACCCAGAGAGUAUCCGCAAAUACUUCAAGUACAGUGUCAGCAUUUAUGCAGUUGGGAUGGGGAGAAGCUGUGAUUUAUAUAAAUAAAGCUAGUAAGCCUGUUUCUUUAUAUGUAAACUAGGGGAUUACAUGUGUUUAUUUCAUGUAAGUUUCUGAACUAAGCAAGAUCUUGGAAAAUAUAGUAAAGGAGUUAAAAUUUAGUUAUUCAAACACAUUAUUUAUUCCUACAAAAUCACUCCAAUGUCUAGGGUUAGUGUGUUUGUGAAAUUUUAGCUGACCUGGACCUCCUGACUAGGUGGCUGUCAGUUGGCUGGUUUUGGGCCUGGUGGCCUGUUGUGGCCUCUAAUUACACCUUGCAGCUUGCAAAGAGGUUCACCCAGCAUGCUCUCGAAGUGCAGUCCGACUUUUUUUAUCAUCCCCUCCCACCAAGUGCGCUAUCUUCUUUGACAGAAGUGGGACCGAUUUCUAUUUUGCCAGCUGUGGAAAAAGCAGAAUGGGGAGACCUAACUUAACUGAUACCAUGUUUCCAACUUAUUCCAGGGAGUUGUAACAUUUCUUAUAAACGUUCAUCCCAGGUGGCUGCCCAACUAGCUCACCAUUUACUAUGGCUCUUUUUUUAAAAUUUAAUUGGGAAAAUGCUUAGGAGAUUUGCCAGGAUCUCAGUUAUGGCCUAUGUGCACUGUGUUUAUUCAUUUCUUCAGCAAACAAUGGGUGUCAUUCCAGCCUGGAUUACCACUGGGUCUUGGGGUAGCAGGUUGUAGCAGGGGCCUCGGGGCACUGUGCUGGGAGG
Mustela erminea (ermine) is the source of this 1520-nucleotide long non-coding RNA. RefSeq lists it as uncharacterized. NCBI's taxonomy places the organism in Eukaryota, Metazoa, Chordata, Mammalia, Carnivora, Mustelidae. The transcript is spliced from 3 exons. The record is from RefSeq and is a predicted model, not a curated record.